This 718-nucleotide ribosomal RNA is filed under the name beta proteobacterium IMCC14970. Its description in RNAcentral is "bacterial SSU rRNA". It matches the Rfam family "Bacterial small subunit ribosomal RNA", at positions 38 to 743 of the family's 1533-position model. The record is from RNAcentral. Lineage: Bacteria; Pseudomonadati; Pseudomonadota; Betaproteobacteria.
UACGGAAUGCUUUACACAUGCAAGUCGAACGGCAGGCCAAGAGAGCUUGCUCUCUGAUGGCGAGUGGCGAACGGGUGAGUAAUAUAUCGGAACGUGCCUAGUAAUGGGGAAUAACUAGCUGAAAAGUUAGCUAAUGCCGCAUACGACCUACGGGUGAAAGCAGGGGAUCUUCGGACCUUGCGUUAUUAGAGCGGCCGAUAUCUGAUUAGCUUGUUGGUGGGGUAAUGGCCUACCAAGGCGACGAUCAGUAGCUGGUCUGAGAGGACGAUCAGCCACACUGGAACUGAGACACGGUCCAGACUCCUACGGGAGGCAGCAGUGGGGAAUUUUGGACAAUGGGGGCAACCCUGAUCCAGCCAUUCCGCGUGAGUGAAGAAGGCCUUCGGGUUGUAAAGCUCUUUCGCAAGAGAAGAAAACUUGCUAUCUAAUAAAUAGUAAGCAUGACGGUAUCUUGACAAGAAGCACCGGCUAACUACGUGCCAGCAGCCGCGGUAAUACGUAGGGUGCAAGCGUUAAUCGGAAUUACUGGGCGUAAAGCGUGCGCAGGCAGUUUUAUAAGUCAGAUGUGAAAUCCCCGAGCUCAACUUGGGAACUGCGUUUGAAACUGUAAGACUAGAGUGUGUCAGAGGGGGGUAGAAUUCCAAGUGUAGCAGUGAAAUGCGUAGAGAUUUGGAGGGAAUACCAAUGGCGAAAGGCAGCCCCCCUGGGAUAACACUGA